GAUGAACGCUAGCGGCAUGCCUAACACAUGCAAGUCGAGGGAGGAGCCUUCGGGCUUCGACCGGCGUACGGGUGCGUAACGCGUAUACAAUCUCCCUUUCACAUAGGGUUAGCCCGAAGAAAUUUGUAUUAAUACCUAAUGGUAUAUAGAUGUGGCAUCACCUUUAUAUUAAAGCUGAGGCGGUGAAAGAUGAGUAUGCGUUCUAUUAUCUAGUUGGAGAGGUAACGGCUCCGCAAGGCGACGAUAGAUAGGGGUUCUGAGAGGGAUAUCCCCCACACUGGAACCGAGAUACGGACCAGAAUCCUACGGGAGGGAGCAGUGAGGAAUACUGAACAAUGGUGGGAAGACUGAUACAGCCAUGCCGGGUGCAGGAAGACGGCCUUAUGGGUUGUAAACUGCUUUUGCAGGGGAAGAAUAAGGACUACGCGUAGUUUGAUGACGGUACUCUGCGAAUAAGCAUCGGCUAACUCCGUG
This 474-nucleotide ribosomal RNA is filed under the name uncultured bacterium. Its description in RNAcentral is "partial 16S ribosomal RNA". It matches the Rfam family "Bacterial small subunit ribosomal RNA", at positions 28 to 507 of the family's 1533-position model. The record is from RNAcentral.